GUUCCCGGCGAUGCUCGGGAUCAAAAGUUUCAAAAUUAGGAAUCAUUUUUCAUAAUUCAUUGCAUUAUUAGCACAACUCACUUCAAAAAUAUUUUACAUCUUUUACGUCCAACAUCACUAAACUGGAAGUCGCCAUUUCGGAUUUCAAAAUGACGUAUGGAGUUCGAAAGUUUCGGAAGUAUUGAAAUGGUUGGCCAAAUAGUGGUAUUAUUCAGAUCCCGCAUAAACAAAUACCAUACACGAAUUGUUUCCCGUAUGGUAUCUCAACCAUUUAUAAAAAAGUCACAUAACCAUUUACAUACCAUAUCAGCUUCAGUUUUGACCAUCUAGUUUAUAGUAAACUGAGAAAUAACCAUUUGGUGAACUAGGCGUUAGGUAUGGUUACCAUUCAAAAAUUGCGAUUAUCCCGAAAAUUUUUUUUUUCGAUAUUGUACACGAUAUGUAGUUUCCAGUUGUACAGGUAUCAUUUCAUGAAAGGUAUAUUUACAUUGAUUUAUAUUCUCAUAAUCGUUCGUGGAAUAGUCGUGAUAUUGUUGUGAAUAUAAUAAAGAUUUCAUCACUUGCCAGCCAUGUAGCACAUUUCUCUUUGUGAGUGGUCAUAUUUGUUUUCUUCCAGGCUGCGAGGGGCGCUGUUUUGCAUUCGUCGUGCAAUGUCGACAUCCACUUCGUUCUGCUCGAAGAUACUGGAUAGAAAAAAAAAUUGUAUGAAUACUCAAGCCGAAAGAUUUGUGACCAAUUUGAUUACCACCUUCCAUUAUAGUUUGACAAAAACCUGCGACCACACCGUUUGCUGGAAGAUAUCUCUUCGUUUUUCGAUGGAGCUUCAACCGUUGAAGGUGUGGUAAACAAAUAGUGCUCACUAUCCUAUUUGGGGAUUCUGAAUAUAAUAUUGUAGCUCAAUAGUUUGUCAUUCAAUUUAGUACAGUAAUAACUGAUAAAAGAUAUUAUCACGAACAGUUACCAUACUUCAUUAGGUACAGUUAAAGUCCUUAUCGCUUCAGUAAUGGUUUUUGAUUAUGCGGGAUUACUUCCCUGAAACCAGAAGUCGUCAUUUUGAAAAAUGUUAUGUGGGGUCAUCCCAGUUCCGAAUAUACCACGCUCGGGUGAUAACCGGAUAUUCGGCAAUCGUUCACAGUAAAACCUCUUUUUAUGUAACUUUUAGAAGAUAGAAAUUAAAGUAAGAAGAAUUUAGCGUGACCAUUCAUGCUUAGUUCUCCUCUAUAAUCAUAUCUAAAGAGAUAACAUGUAAAUUUUUAUAACGAAAAUGUUUGUUGGUGUCCAAGGAACACGUCUGAGAAGAAGUUAACGUUUUAAUCCACAUACCUACGUAGAAAUUAAAAAAAAAAGAUUAAACCAAUGAAAUUCCUCCAGCCAAAUGUCCCAAGAUCUAGUUUUGGUAAAACUAAAAAAAUAUUUCGAAUCCCGUAAUGUGUUACUAUUGUAAUUUUUUUCUGCUCGACUCGCACCAAAUUGAAACAAAAGUUCUUCUGCAAGAAAAUGUUUGCAGAUGUUGAAGGAACAACGAACAUUUUAUUGAAAAAAAAA
Molecule: long non-coding RNA, 1545 nt
Organism: Wyeomyia smithii (pitcher-plant mosquito)
Lineage: Eukaryota; Metazoa; Arthropoda; Insecta; Diptera; Culicidae
Exons: 4
Source: RefSeq, a predicted model, not a curated record